This 1557-nucleotide long non-coding RNA is filed under the name Nicotiana tabacum (common tobacco). Its description in RNAcentral is "long non-coding RNA (NTAB_LNC018498)". The stretch from base 433 to 509 matches the Rfam family "MIR6145 microRNA precursor family". Lineage: Eukaryota; Viridiplantae; Streptophyta; Magnoliopsida; Solanales; Solanaceae. The record is from RNAcentral.
UAUUACUCAAACCUAGCCGCCCCUAAUUCCAAAAAUUCUCUCAAAGGUCUGCCAAGGUCCGCCACCUACCACCCUUCCUCCGCCGAUCGAAAAUCGUUUCCGGCGGCGCACCACCAUCAAACAGCUUCAGAAUAUCACCCCACACUCCUCAUCUCACCCCCAAUCCUUAAUCCAACCUCAUUUUCUCGAAAAGAUUCUUUCAUUUCUUCAAUUUGAAGAUCUCAGAUUUAAAAAUUCGAUCUUUUUGGCCCCUUUCCAAAUUUCCUUCAAUCCAGCCUCCUUUUCACCCAAAUCUUACACUAACUGACGGGUUGGGGAGAGACUUGUCUCUUGGUGUCACCUUUUCGCUUUAAUUCCAGUGGCCAGAAUAUCGUUGACCACUGUUGACAGGCCAGAACUACCUUGAAACUCCGCCUUUUUAUUUCUUUGCAUGUGAUGAGAAUUGUGACAUAUAGCACUGGUUGUUUGAAGAAAUUCCGGCCAGUGCUCAUGUUACAAUCACCAUUACUUGCCGAAGUCUUUGCUCGUCAGAGUUUGCAUUGCUCGUCGGAGUUUGCAUCUAGUCGUUCCAUUUACUGGAAUUUUCUGGCAAAAUUGUAACGACCCGACUGGUCGUUUUGAGCUCUAGCGCAUUGUUCGGCAGUUUGAGGCCUUGAGCAGCUUCACUUCAUGUUUUAUGACUUGUACGCAUAGUCGAAAUUGAAGUUCGUAGUUGAUUCAGAUGGAAAAUUCUCAAUUCGGAAGCUUUAAGUUGGAAUAGUAGACAACGGUUGACUUUUAAGUAAACGACCUAGGAAUCAGUAUUUGAAGGUUUUUCAAUAGGUUUGUAUGAUGAUUUUGGACUUGGUCGUAUGUUCGGGUUGAGUAUCGGGUGGCCUGGGAGCAUUUCAACGUUUAUUGUGAAAAGUUAGCAUUUUGAAGGUUUUAGAAUUUUUGUACUUUGGUUAGAAGUGGAAUUUGGUGUUAUCGAUGUCCGUUUGGGAUUCCGAGCCUUGGAAUAGGUUCGUAUCAUGAUUUUUGAUUUGCACGUAAAGUUUGACGUCAUUCCAGAAUGUUCGUACGCGUUCAGCGAAGUUUGAAAGUUGAAAGAAGGAUCUUGAUUGAAGGAUCUUAAUCGUCGAUUCAUAGUUUGGAUGUUGUUAGGUGUGAUUUGAGGCCUCGAGUAUGUUUGUGUUAUUUUUUGGGAGUGGUUGGUGUGAUUGGAUGGGGUCCCGGGGAGCCUCGGGUGUAUUUUAGAUGGGUUUGGGUUGUGUCGCGCUCCUAUUUGAUGUUUCAGUGUCGUUUCUUUGGGCAUAAAGGGUACCAUAUUGAGAAAAUGACCUUUGAUUUGUGAUUUGAUUAAAUCAUUAAAUCCGUAUCGCAAUUACGGAACCAUAGCAACAAGAAUCAUCGAAUUUCGAUGUUGUACGAGAAAGUUAUGUCCAUUUUCGUGUUGGAAAAGAUUGUUCCCAUAGGUAUUAAAUUGUUAUGUGCUACUAGUUAUGGGUGCUACGUACACACGAGGUGACGAGAGUUCGUACGUAGCUAAAAACAUGUUUGUGUCCGGGUAGACUUUGG